GACGAACGCUGGCGGCGUGCUUAACACAUGCAAGUCGAACGGAAAGGCCCUGCUUUUGUGGGGUGCUCGAGUGGCGAACGGGUGAGUAACACGUGAGUAACCUGCCCUUGACUUUGGGAUAACUUCAGGAAACUGGGGCUAAUACCGGAUAGGAGCUCCUGCUGCAUGGUGGGGGUUGGAAAGUUUCGGCGGUUGGGGAUGGACUCGCGGCUUAUCAGCUUGUUGGUGGGGUAGUGGCUUACCAAGGUUUUGACGGGUAGCCGGCCUGAGAGGGUGACCGGCCACAUUGGGACUGAGAGACGGCCCAGACUCCUACGGGAGGCAGCAGUGGGGAAUAUUGCACAAUGAGCGGAAGCCUGAUGCAGCAACGCCGCGUGCGGGAUGACGGCCUUCGGGUUGUAAACCGCUUUCGCCUGUGACGAAGCGUGAGUGACGGUAAUGGGUAAAGAAGCACCGGCUAACUACGUG
Molecule: ribosomal RNA, 468 nt
Filed under: uncultured bacterium
Lineage: Bacteria
Description: partial 16S ribosomal RNA
Rfam family: Bacterial small subunit ribosomal RNA
Source: RNAcentral